GUGCCAGCCGCCGCGGUAAUACCGGCAGCCCGAGUGAUGGCCGAUCUUAUUGGGCCUAAAGCGUCCGUAGCUGGCCGCGCAAGUCCAUCGGGAAAUCCACCUGCUCAACAGGUGGGCGCCCGGUGGAAACUGUGCGGCUUGGGACCGGGAGGCCUGAGGGGUACGAUCGGGGUAGGAGUGAAAUCCUGUAAUCCCGCUCGGACCGCCGAUGGGGAAACCACCUCAGGAGAACGGAUCCGACAGUGAGGGACGAAAGCCAGGGUCUCGAACCGGAUUAGAAACCCUAGUAGUCC
RNAcentral lists this ribosomal RNA (293 nucleotides) under uncultured bacterium. RNAcentral's name for it is "partial 16S ribosomal RNA". It matches the Rfam family "Archaeal small subunit ribosomal RNA", at positions 455 to 747 of the family's 1478-position model. The record is from RNAcentral.